AGGUCAUUUCGGUUGCGCCUCGCCGCAUUUGUUGGCUGAAUGAUGUGUAAAUGAUUGAUGACUCACAAUGCCUCAGACGACAGCUCUCCGAUUAAAGAAACGGCUAAGAGUAAAGUAGACUUGAUAUUGACAUUUCCAUGUAGAAUCGCUGACGGCCCACCACUCCGAUUAAAGGCCGGAACUGCUAAGAACAAAGAGGCAUGCCGCAGAAGAGAAGCAGGAGCGGAGGAUCGAGGUAGAGGGAGCAUGAUAUACGCACGCCGAUUCGUCUCGGGUGACUUCCAAGACAAACCAUCGUAACCGACGGUUACAGUACUUUAUACUGAUAUUCCACGUGUUUUUAGAAAAAUUUGUUGUAUUUUAUACUAAUCUUUUAUUGUAAGUUCAGUCCCAUAUGUAUGAGCAUGACUGUGGUCUCGCGUUUUAUGUCUACGCCUGCGGCCCGUUGUCAGAACAACUAGCACUAGAACUAGAACAACUAGCACUAGAACUAGAACAACUGGCUAUAGAACCAUAGCAACUAGUUCUAGAACUAGAACAAGUAGCACUAGAACAACUAGCAAUAGAACUAGAGCAACUAGCUAUAGAACUAGAACAACUAGCUCUGGAACUAGAACAAAUAGCACUAGAACUAGAGCAACUAGCUCUGGAACUAGAACAACUAGCUCUAUAACUAGAGCAAGUAACACCCUGUUUGUAAUCCCAUGCAUGUGCGUUCACGAUUGAAAUGCUUUCAAAUAAAUAUACUCCAAAUGAAACGCCCGCGGCUUCUCUUUAUAUGGUGUUAAUUAUUCAAAGGCUAUCAACAAUACUUUUCUGAAAAAUCAUCAAAGAAAUUGUAACAUACACUGUUGAGAAGUUUGCGGUGCGGUGGUGAAUGUACCUCGCCCUUGUUGAUGACUCAUUGUUGUUGUCUGGCGGUGUU
RNAcentral lists this long non-coding RNA (925 nucleotides) under Priapulus caudatus. RNAcentral's name for it is "uncharacterized LOC106808426, transcript variant X1". The record is from RNAcentral. Lineage: Eukaryota; Metazoa; Priapulida; Priapulimorpha; Priapulimorphida; Priapulidae.